Molecule: transfer RNA, 82 nt
Filed under: Caudoviricetes sp.
Lineage: Duplodnaviria; Heunggongvirae; Uroviricota; Caudoviricetes
Description: tRNA-Tyr
Rfam family: tRNA
About the family: Transfer RNA (tRNA) molecules are approximately 80 nucleotides in length. Their secondary structure includes four short double-helical elements and three loops (D, anti-codon, and T loops).
Source: RNAcentral
GGAGGUAUACCGUAACUGGUAGCGGGGCAGCCUGUAAAGCUGUUGCCUUUGGGUUCUGGAAGUUCGAGUCUUUCUCUCCCCA